AGGGAAAUCUUCCACAAUGGACGAAAGUCUGAUGGAGCAACGCCGCGUGAGUGAAGAAGGGUUUCGGCUCGUAAAGCUCUGUUGGUAGUGAAGAAAGAUAGAGGUAGUAACUGGCCUUUAUUUGACGGUAAUUACUUAGAAAGUCACGGCUAACUAC
This 157-nucleotide ribosomal RNA is filed under the name uncultured bacterium. Its description in RNAcentral is "partial 16S ribosomal RNA". It matches the Rfam family "Bacterial small subunit ribosomal RNA", at positions 355 to 504 of the family's 1533-position model. The record is from RNAcentral.